This 222-nucleotide ribosomal RNA is filed under the name uncultured bacterium. RNAcentral's name for it is "partial 16S ribosomal RNA". It matches the Rfam family "Bacterial small subunit ribosomal RNA", at positions 113 to 334 of the family's 1533-position model. The record is from RNAcentral.
CGACGUAAAGAACUUGCCUCACAGCUAGGGACAACAUUUAGAAAUGAAUGCUAAUACCUGAUAUUAUGAUUUUAGGUCAUCUUAGAAUUAUGAAAGCUAUAAGCACUGUGAGAGAGCUUUGCGUCCCAUUAGCUAGUUGGAGAGGUAACAGCUCACCAAGGCGAUGAUGGGUAGCCGGCCUGAGAGGGUGAACGGCCACAAGGGGACUGAGACACGGCCCUU